Rosa chinensis is the source of this 802-nucleotide long non-coding RNA. RefSeq lists it as uncharacterized. The transcript has 3 exons. The record is from RefSeq and is a predicted model, not a curated record. NCBI's taxonomy places the organism in Eukaryota, Viridiplantae, Streptophyta, Magnoliopsida, Rosales, Rosaceae.
GUUAUAACUUUAUACAGGAAACUUACAUACAGUCUCCUUAAACUUUUGGGAAUCAAUCGAUUACGUAAAGUGAAAUAUCGAUCCAUACUCGAUGCAUUGAUGUUUUACGUUGCAUUAGUGAAAUGCUAAAGAAUGACAGUCCUACAUCAGCACAACUUGGCAUCGUAAGAACAUCAAUCUUCAAAGCUGUUGAACACGGGCAUGUUGAGUUUGUCACUCAUAUAUGUGAAGCAUAUCCUCCAUUUGCAAAAUCAAGAGAAGAAAACAAACACAUAUUUCACUUUGCGGUUGAAUUUCGUCAACAUAAAAUUUAUAGCCUUAUUCAUAGACUUGAUAGAGAGGACCAGAGAUACUUUGGAACACGUGUAACCAAGUAUCCAGAGAAUAUGUUACAUUUAGCAGGGAAAUUAUCUCCACUCUCAAGGUUCAAUCGUAUUCGCGGUGCAGCUUUGCAAAUGCAACGAGAGCUACAGUGGUUUAAGGAGGUGGAGGAUAUUGUACCGGAGGAGAUGCAUGAAAUUCCAAAUUCAGAUGGUAUGACACCACAUGAACUAUUUACUAAGAAUCAUGAGAAACUAAAAGAGGAGGCAGAAGUCUCAAUGAAAGGGAUAGCAACUUCUUGUACAGUUGUAGGCGCUCUCAUUGUUACCAUUAUGUUUGCUGCAGCAUUUACAGUUCCUGGUGGAAACAAUGGUAAUACAGGUUACCCGAUGUUUCAAGCUAAGAAGUUGUUUCUGGUGUUCAUAAUUUCAGAUACUCUAUCACUAGUUUCUUCCACAACUUCAGUCAUAUUAUUUUUGGG